Molecule: ribosomal RNA, 403 nt
Filed under: uncultured bacterium
Lineage: Bacteria
Description: partial 16S ribosomal RNA
Rfam family: Bacterial small subunit ribosomal RNA
Source: RNAcentral
GACGAACGCUGGCGGCGUGCCUAAUACAUGCAAGUCGAACGCAGUGGGGACGGGUGAGUAACACGUGGGUAACCUCCCAUCAGAGGGGAUAACACUUGGAAACCGGUGCUAAACCGAUACUGAUGGAUGGAACCGCGGUGCAUUAGCUAGUUGGUGAGGUAACGGCUCACCAAGGCCACGAUCCAUAGCCGGCCUGAGAGGGUGAUCGGCCACACUGGGACUGAGACACGGCCCAGACUCCUACGGGAGGCAGCAGUAGGGAAUCUUGGGCAAUGGACGAAAGUCUGAUCGAGCAACGCCGCGUGAGUGAAGAAGGUUUUAGGGUCGUAAAGCUCUGUUGUUAGAGAAGCGGUAUCUAACCAGAAAGCAACGGCUAACUACGUGCCAGCAGCCGCGGUAAUUC